RNAcentral lists this ribosomal RNA (528 nucleotides) under uncultured bacterium. RNAcentral describes it as "bacterial SSU rRNA". It matches the Rfam family "Bacterial small subunit ribosomal RNA", at positions 388 to 917 of the family's 1533-position model. The record is from RNAcentral.
CCAGCCAGUAGCGUGCAGGAUGACGGCCCUCUGGNGUUGUAAACUGCUUUUAGUUGGGAAUAAAAAAGAGGACGUGUCCUCUAUUGUAUGUACCUUCAGAAAAAGGACCGGCUAAUUCCGUGCCAGCAGCCGCGGUAAUACGGAAGGUCCAGGCGUUAUCCGGAUUUAUUGGGUUUAAAGGGAGCGUAGGCGGAUUAUUAAGUCAGUGGUGAAAGACGGUGGCUCAACCAUCGUUAGCCAUUGAAACUGGUAGUCUUGAGUGCAGACAGGGAUGCUGGAACUCGUGGUGUAGCGGUGAAAUGCUUAGAUAUCACGAUGAACUCCAAUCGCGAAGGCAGGUGUCCGGGCUGCAACUGACGCUGAGGCUCGAAAGUGUGGGUAUCAAACAGGAUUAGAUACCCUGGUAGUCCACACAGUAAACGAUGUAUACUCGCGGUUUGCGAUAUAGUGUAAGCCGCCAAGCGAAAGCAUUAAGUAUACCACCUGGGGAGUACGCCGGCAACGGUGAAACUCAAAGGAAUGGACGGA